Molecule: ribosomal RNA, 203 nt
Filed under: uncultured bacterium
Lineage: Bacteria
Description: partial 16S ribosomal RNA
Source: RNAcentral
GACGAACGCUGGCGGCGUGCUUAACACAUGCAAGUCGAGCGGUAAGGCCCUUUCGGGGUACGACGAGCGGCGAACGGGUAGGAGUAACAACGUGGGUGGACCUCGCCCUCCAGCUCUGGGAGUAAGACCUCGGGAAACCGGGGUACCGUAAUAACUGGAGUAUGACUCCACUGACGCAUGUUGGUUGGGGUGGGAAAGACCUU